RNAcentral lists this transfer RNA (98 nucleotides) under Micromonospora fulviviridis. Its description in RNAcentral is "tRNA-Arg". Lineage: Bacteria; Bacillati; Actinomycetota; Actinomycetes; Micromonosporales; Micromonosporaceae. The record is from RNAcentral.
GUCACCGGCCCGCGCGACGGCGCGCUGGUGGUCUCCGGCGUCACCUGCCUGCGGGACGCCACGGUGACCGGCCCGGUCCGUGUCCGGCCCGGCGGCAC